RNAcentral lists this ribosomal RNA (566 nucleotides) under Oreobates discoidalis (Tucuman robber frog). RNAcentral describes it as "partial 16S ribosomal RNA". It matches the Rfam family "Bacterial large subunit ribosomal RNA", at positions 1817 to 2596 of the family's 2925-position model. The record is from RNAcentral. Lineage: Eukaryota; Metazoa; Chordata; Amphibia; Anura; Strabomantidae.
CGCCUCUUGACCCCCAUAAGAGGUCCAGCCUGCCCAGUGACUUCUGUUCAACGGCCGGGGUAUCCUAACCGUGCGAAGGUAGCGCAAUCACUUGUUUCUUAAAUAGGGACUAGUAUGAAAGGCAUCACGAGGGCCUAACUGUCUCCUUUUUCCAAUCAGUGAAACUAAUCUCCCCGUGAAGAAGCGGGGAUAUUCUUAUAAGACGAGAAGACCCUAUGGAGCUUUAAACUCUACGACACCUGCCUUCUACUACUUUCUUUUUCAGAAAGCUCCCCCCCCCUUUGGCACCCUGUCUACGAGCUUUCGGUUGGGGCGACCCCGGAGAAUAACUUAUCCUCCGUAAUGAACAGAUUUAUCUUUAGCAAAAAUCUACAACUUUAAGCAUCAGUAAAACUGACAUACAUUGACCCAAAAUUUGAGCAACGAACCAAGUUACCCUAGGGAUAACAGCGCUAUCCACUUUGAAAGUUCCUAUCGACAAGUGGGCUUACGACCUCGAUGUUGGAUCAGGGUAUCCUAGUGGUGCAACCGCUACUAAAGGUUUGUUUGUUCAACAAUUAAAACCC